UCGAACGAACCGUUCGGGUUAGUGGCGGACGGGCUGAGUUAACGCGCUGGCGAAUCUGCCCUCAGGAGGGGGAUAACGGCUGGAAACGGCCGCUAAUACCCCAUAUGCCGAGAGGUGAAAUGAAAUUCGCCCGAGGAUGAGCCCGCGCUCUGAUUAGCUAGUUGGUGGGGUAAGAGCCUACCAAGGCGACGAUCAGUAGCUGGUCUGAGAGGAUGAUCAGCCACACUGGGACUGAGACACGGCCCAGACUCCUACGGGAGGCAGCAGUGGGGAAUUUUCCGCAAUGGGCGAAAGCCUGACGGAGCAACGCCGCGUGAGGGACGAAGGCCUCUGGGCUGUAAACCUCUUUUCUCAAGGAAGAAGAUCUGACGGUACUUGAGGAAUAAGCCACGGCUAAUUCCGUGCC
RNAcentral lists this ribosomal RNA (406 nucleotides) under uncultured cyanobacterium. Its description in RNAcentral is "bacterial SSU rRNA". It matches the Rfam family "Bacterial small subunit ribosomal RNA", at positions 62 to 509 of the family's 1533-position model. The record is from RNAcentral. Lineage: Bacteria; Bacillati; Cyanobacteriota.